CAUCCAGAUAACCGCCUUUCAUGUCGUGACAUACGAGCGUUUUCGGCUUCUCAUUUCUCGGAAAUUUUUCCAGCGGUAGCUUGACGUUGUUGAUAUUUUUUCCCGAGUAAACAUAGUCGGUUGAUUUUCUCAAUUCUUGUAUCUUCGGCCAUUCGGGUAGAUUAUCUACGCCGUCGUAGAGUUCUUUCAACGUUUUAAACGGCUUGGAGGUUAGCGCCUCGUCGAUGUCCGCACCUUUUUCAACCGUCGACGACAUUGUUCUUCAAAAGUUUUUAAUAUAACUAAUCGGAACGGCUUCAUUUAUAUAGCGUACAGAUUAGACCGCGGACAGAUAUCAAUCAACCUUUCACGGUCAAAUGUAGCUCAAAUAAUACACAUAUCUCGGUACGCAAAUAAAUUAUCGUUGAAUUUUUCAGGAUCAACCGCAAAGGACAUCAAGCGCAGACGACGCAUGCAGACGACGCAUGCAGACGAUGGAAACAAACGAACGGCGCUUUUACUCGAGUUGCGGAUAAAUUCAGGCAAUGUCAUUCGGUCGUCGUUCGCUGAUGAAAAAUUGCAGAAAAUGGAGACGAUAUUUCCCGUAGAUUAUCACUCGCACUUUCGUGAAUUCGGGCGAAAGCUGGGCUUAGAAAAUUUCGUCCAUUCCUCGGGACAGGUCCAGACCUCCUCCCGAGGGAGGCUGUAACAGCGGAACGCAGUCCUGAGGGGAACACUCGACCCGACCCGAUGCUCCGCAACCGCAUUGCACGCAAUUUCCAGUCGAGUGCGGCAGCGCUUCGCCCUCCUUGUACUCGAUUCCUGCGCAAUUUUCAAAAUAAAUGCCCAGUCAACGACGGAGAUCAGAUUGGAAAAUGAGCAAAACUAAGGCGGAGGUCCGUCAACGGAGACGAGGCGGCGAAGGAGGAAAGGUUCGAAGAGGAGACGAUUCACUCACUUACCCAUAACGACGCACGUCGCGGGCGGCGUGCUCUGGACGACUAAAUCCUGGUAAGUUGAAUUAACGUCGAUGUAACCGUCUUCGUCGAGUAUCUGGAGGCCCUCCAACCCCUCGGUGGCCUGUAGCAGUGUGCCGUUAUCGUCAUUUCCGUAUGACGAAUUAUUCGCUGACGGAUACCCCAAGGAAGGCGACUCGCUGCUGCUGCUGCUGCUGCUGCUCCUCAAGUUUCCCUCAAAGUUAUCAAACUCCUCCGGCUCGGAGUGGAGAAGACAGUCCUGCCACCAGCAGUAAACUUCACCCGCCACGCAGAGGCAAUGGGAACAGGCGUCGCUCGU
RNAcentral lists this unclassified non-coding RNA (1275 nucleotides) under Athalia rosae (coleseed sawfly). RNAcentral describes it as "misc RNA ENSAEAG00005011355.1". The record is from RNAcentral. Lineage: Eukaryota; Metazoa; Arthropoda; Insecta; Hymenoptera; Athaliidae.